Molecule: ribosomal RNA, 497 nt
Filed under: uncultured bacterium
Lineage: Bacteria
Description: partial 16S ribosomal RNA
Rfam family: Bacterial small subunit ribosomal RNA
Source: RNAcentral
GAUGAACGCUGGCGGCGUGCCUAACACAUGCAAGUCGAGCGAACAGAUGAGGAGCUUGCUCCUCUGACGUUAGCGGCGGACGGGUGAGUAACACGUGGAUAACCUACCUAUAAGACUGGGAUAAAUUCGGGAAACCGGAGCUAAUACCGGAUAAUAUAUUGAACCGCAUGGUUCAAUAGUGAAAGACGGUUUUGCUGUCACUUAUAGAUGGAUCCGCGCCGCAUUAGCUAGUUGGUAAGGUAACGGCUUACCAAGGCAACGAUGCGUAGCCGACCUGAGAGGGUGAUCGGCCACACUGGAACUGAGACACGGUCCAGACUCCUACGGGAGGCAGCAGUAGGGAAUCUUCCGCAAUGGGCGAAAGCCUGACGGAGCAACGCCGCGUGAGUGAUGAAGGUCUUCGGAUCGUAAAACUCUGUUAUUAGGGAAGAACAAAUGUGUAAGUAACUAUGCACGUCUUGACGGUACCUAAUCAGAAAGCCACGGCUAACUACGUG